UACGUUCCCGGGCCUUGUACACACCGCCCGUCAAGUCAUGGAAGACUGGAAGUGCCUCGAACGUGACGGUAACCGCAACGGAGCGUCCUAGGGUAAAGUCGGUAACUGGGGCU
RNAcentral lists this ribosomal RNA (113 nucleotides) under uncultured bacterium. RNAcentral's name for it is "partial 16S ribosomal RNA". The record is from RNAcentral.